UAACAUUGCUAAAGCGGUGCUAAUACCGGAUAUCCUUUCGCGGAGACAUCUGUUGCAAAAGGAAAGCCUUCGGGCGCCAAAAGAUAAGCUCGCGCCCCAUUAGCUUGUUGGCGGGGUAACGGCCCACCAAGGCGAUGAUGGGUAGCCGACCUGAGAGGAUAAGCCGCCCCCUUGGGACUGAGAUACGGCCCAGACUCCUACGGGAGGCAGCAGUACGGAAUUUUGCGCAAUGGGCGAAAGCCUGACGCAGCAACGCCGCGUGGAGGAUGACCGUCUUCGGAUUGAAAACUCCUGUCGUGAGGGAAGAAACGCCGAUUGGUCGGGCUGACGGUACCUCACAAGAAAGCCCCGGCUAACUUCGUGCCAGCAGCCGCGGUAAUACGAGGGGGGCUAGUGUUGUUCGGAUUUACUGGGUGUAAAGGGAGUGCAGGCGGAUCGGCAAGUCAGGGGUGAAAAGCUCACGCUCAACGUGAUGCACUGCCUUUGAUACUGCCGACCUUGAGUGUUGGAGAGGGUGAUGGAAUUCCAGGUGUAGCGGUGGAAUGCGUAGAUAUCUGGAAGACACCAGUUGCGAAGGCGAGCACCUGUCCAAACACUGACUCUGAGUCUCGUAAGCUGGGGGAGCAGACAGGAUUAGAUACCCUGUUAGUCCCAGCCCUAAACGAUGGACACUAGGUGUUGGUGGAGUUAACACCAUCAGCGCCGAAGUUAACGCAUUAAUUGUCCCACCUUGGAGUACGGUCGCAAGGCUGAAACUCUAAGGAAUUGACGGGGGCCCGCACAAGCGGUGGAGCAUGUGGUUCAAUUCGAAGCUACGCGAAGAACCUUACCUGGGCUUGACAUGGAGAGGUCCAUCCUCAGAGAUGAGGACUUCUGUAGCAAUACAGACCUCUCACACAGGUGCUGCAUGGCUGUCGUCAGCUCGUGUCGUGAGAUAUUGGGUUAAGUCCCGCAACGAGCGCAACCCUUGUCCUUAGUUGCCAUCAGGUUAAGCUGGGCACUCUAGGGAGACUGCCAGUAAUAAACUGGAGGAAGGUGGGGAUGACGUCUAGUCCUCAUGUCCCUU
Molecule: ribosomal RNA, 1066 nt
Filed under: uncultured organism
Description: bacterial SSU rRNA
Rfam family: Bacterial small subunit ribosomal RNA
Source: RNAcentral